GAUGAUCGGGCUAUCAUGCAAGUCGAACGAACUCUGGUAUUGAUUGGUGCUUGCAUCAUGAUUUACAUUUGAGUGAGUGGCGAACUGGUGAGUAACACGUGGGAAACCUGCCCAGAAGCGGGGGAUAACACCUGGAAACAGAUGCUAAUACCGCAUAACAACUUGGACCGCAGGGUCCGAGUUUGAAAGAUGGCUUCGGCUAUCACUUUUGGAUGGUCCCGCGGCGUAUUAGCUAGAUGGUGGGGUAACGGCUCACCAUGGCAAUGAUACGUAGCCGACCUGAGAGGGUAAUCGGCCACAUUGGGACUGAGACACGGCCCAAACUCCUACGGGAGGCAGCAGUAGGGAAUCUUCCACAAUGGACGAAAGUCUGAUGGAGCAACGCCGCGUGAGUGAAGAAGGGUUUCGGCUCGUAAAACUCUGUUGUUAAAGAAGAACAUAUCUGAGAGUAACUGUUCAGGUAUUGACGGUAUUUAACCAGAAAGCCACGGCUAACUACGUGCCAGCAGCCGCGGUAAUACGUAGGUGGCAAGCGUUGUCCGGAUUUAUUGGGCGUAAAGCGAGCGCAGGCGGUUUUUUAAGUCUGAUGUGAAAGCCUUCGGCUCAACCGAAGAAGUGCAUCGGAAACUGGGAAACUUGAGUGCAGAAGAGGACAGUGGAACUCCAUGUGUAGCGGUGAAAUGCGUAGAUAUAUGGAAGAACACCAGUGGCGAAGGCGGCUGUCUGGUCUGUAACUGACGCUGAGGCUCGAAAGUAUGGGUAGCAAACAGGAUUAGAUACCCUGGUAGUCCAUACCGUAAACGAUGAAUGCUAAGUGUUGGAGGGUUUCCGCCCUUCAGUGCUGCAGCUAACGCAUUAAGCUUCCCGCCUGGGGAGUACGGGCGCAAGGUGAAACUCAAAGGAAUUGACGGGGGCCCGCCAAGCGG
Molecule: ribosomal RNA, 926 nt
Filed under: Lactiplantibacillus plantarum
Lineage: Bacteria; Bacillati; Bacillota; Bacilli; Lactobacillales; Lactobacillaceae
Description: bacterial SSU rRNA
Rfam family: Bacterial small subunit ribosomal RNA
Source: RNAcentral